Molecule: long non-coding RNA, 1927 nt
Filed under: Homo sapiens (human)
Lineage: Eukaryota; Metazoa; Chordata; Mammalia; Primates; Hominidae
Description: HSALNT0196509
Source: RNAcentral
CGGCUACCAGCGGCUGGGGAUGAGGGAGUGACUGUUCAUGGGCAUGAGGGGAUUUUGGGGAAGUGACAGUGUUCUGGAACUAGAUAGCGGUGGUGUUUGCGUGGCAUCGUGAAGGUACCUAACGUCAGCGAACAGAAUACUUUAAAAUGGUAAAAUGGCUGAUUUUAUAUUAUGUAUAUUUACCACAAUUUAAAAGGAAGGAAGGAAGGAAGGAAGGCAGGCAGGCAGGAGAAGGAGGUAGGAGGGAGGGAAAGAGGGAGGGAGGAAGGAGGGAGGGAAGAAGGAAGGAAGGAAGGAGAAGGGAAGGGAAGGAAGGAAGGAGAAGGGAAAGGAAGGGAAAGUAGAAGGAGGUAGGAGGGAGGGAGGGAGGAAGGAAGGAGGCUUCUUUUGCAGAAAUCAGGAUCUGGCCACGCUGGGUCUUUCGCUGAUCACAGCGGCCCCUGUCCAGCAUUCCUGGCCCCAGUAAGCUUCUGGCGUUUCCAAAGGUGGCAGGAGACUGGGCAGCCGACAUAGCAGGAGGGAACAUCGCGCUCUGCCCUCCCCAUCCCAAGCCCUCUGGCCUGGCCCUGCCCACAGGGUAAAGAGGGAAGUUCCAGGCUGGUGCUGCUGCUGCUGUGGCUGCCAUCCCUUGUCCCUAAGUCUGGGCCCCAGGCCCUGGGUACAGCUCCCUUCCUCACCCUGCCAGGGCCCAUGACCUCCUUCCGUCCUUUCAGGAUUUUGCAGGAAGUGGAAGAGGCGUGUAGAAGGUGCCAGAGGACAGACAGGAAGCCAAUCUCCCCUCUCCUUCCACACGGCCCCAGCAGGGCACCAGAACCAGCAGCCCCCGCCAAAGGCCCUGCCGUCAGCAAAGAGAACUUGCAUCCAGGCCAAACCACCAAAGCUACUGAGUCAAAAAAAUGGAGAAAAACUCCACCUCCCAUCUCCUCGGGCGCCUCAAUUUUCUGCAGUUCCUCCUGCGUCUGUCACACAUUUCGGGAUGGAAGAAAGCACACAGCGGCCAGGAGUUCAAAGGGAACCCAGCGAAGAUGUAAGUCAAGAGAAUUCUCACCCCCAUCCCUCAUCACUCUCACUCUUCCGAGACAAGUGUCACGAUGUGGUGGCUGACAGAGCUUCCCUUUUUGAAGGGCACGGUCUCAGUUCUGCUGGCUCUCAGGCCGGAAGAAGCCGAGGGCGCUGAGUGGGCAGAAGGGGCCCCAGGAAGCCCCUCAGAGGAUGGGAAGUGGCGGGGGACAGGGCCACAGGGCUUGCUGUGACCCGGUAUGACCUCCUUUUCCUCUUGUCCUGACCAGGACAACCGUGUUCAGAGGUGGGUUCAUCUGGCGUACCGGGCUUGCGGCAGAUCCUGCUGUUUCUCCACCCACCCGCCUUUCCCUCUCCUUGUUUCCGAAGGAGAGCCUGCCUCUCGCCCCGAGGUUGAACAUUCCAGCUCCUUGCUCUCCCCGGCAGGAAGCCCCAAUUCUGCCCUGCAGUGGUUGCCUGGACACCCUCGUAACCCAGCUGAGCCUGCACCCCCGGGGCCUGGGCCACUCUGCUGCUCUGUCUUGCACCCUUGACUUCCUUUGAGGGUUGACUCUGGACCCUUAAGCCUCCUCCUUCCUUGCCUGGAGUUUACCCACCUAGGCCGGCCGCCUGGCAAGGACUGGCUGGUGCGGGGCCUGAAAGCCUGGCCCUCGCCUCAAGGUGGGACUGUCUGGGCUGUCACUGAUGCCCCAGAGCUCCCGAGGGAUCCUUUGCCUGGCUUCUUCCCGUCGUCCCCGUCCUGUUUCCCCACUCUCUUCCCGCCUGUCCCAGACUGCUACCUUCCUAAUAAAUGGCUUGUACAGAAAUCCUUGCCUCAGGCUCUGCCUAUGAGGAGCCUGACCACACGCAUUCUCUGUGUGGAGAGACCCCCCAGGACCUCUUUUUGUUCCAUGGGACCUAACAGGAG